Molecule: ribosomal RNA, 425 nt
Filed under: uncultured Oscillospiraceae bacterium
Lineage: Bacteria; Bacillati; Bacillota; Clostridia; Eubacteriales; Oscillospiraceae
Description: bacterial SSU rRNA
Rfam family: Bacterial small subunit ribosomal RNA
Source: RNAcentral
UGGGGAAUAUUGGGCAAUGGGCGAAAGCCUGACCCAGCAACGCCGCGUGAAGGAAGAAGGUUUUCGGAUUGUAAACUUCUUUUAUCAGGGACGAAGAAAGUGACGGUACCUGAUGAAUAAGCCACGGCUAACUACGUGCCAGCAGCCGCGGUAAUACGUAGGUGGCAAGCGUUAUCCGGAUUUACUGGGUGUAAAGGGCGCGUAGGCGGGGAUGCAAGUCAGAUGUGAAAUCUAUGGGCUUAACCCAUAAACUGCAUUUGAAACUGUAUCUCUUGAGUGUCGGAGAGGUAGACGGAAUUCCUAGUGUAGCGGUGAAAUGCGUAGAUAUUAGGAGGAACACCAGUGGCGAAGGCGGCUUUCUGGACUGUAACUGACGCUGAGGCUCGAAAGCGUGGGAAGCGAACAGGGAUUAGAUACCCUGGGUA